CUAGACUCCUACGGGAGGCAGCAGUGGGGAAUAUUGCACAAUGGGGGGAACCCUGAUGCAGCGACGCCGCGUGAGUGAAGAAGUAUUUCGGUAUGUAAAGCUCUAUCAGCAGGGAAGAAGAUGACGGUACCUGACUAAGAAGCCCCGGCUAACUACGUGCCAGCAGCCGCGGUAAUACGUAGGGGGCAAGCGUUAUCCGGAUUUACUGGGUGUAAAGGGAGCGUAGACGGCAGCGCAAGUCUGAAGUGAAAUGCCGGGGCUUAACCCCGGAACUGCUUUGGAAACUGUGCAGCUAGAGUGCAGGAGAGGUAAGUGGAAUUCCUAGCGUAGCGGUGAAAUGCGUAGAUAUCACGAAGAACCCCGAUUGCGAAGGCAGCUUACUAAACUGUGACUGACAUUGAUGCUCGAAAGUGUGGGUAUCAAACAGGAUUAGAUACCCUAGUA
RNAcentral lists this ribosomal RNA (444 nucleotides) under uncultured bacterium. RNAcentral's name for it is "bacterial SSU rRNA". It matches the Rfam family "Bacterial small subunit ribosomal RNA", at positions 331 to 792 of the family's 1533-position model. The record is from RNAcentral.